CUGUUUCUGGAGGAGAUAGACUACUCCAUUCUAAAAUGAUGUGACUAAUACUGUCAUUUUAUUUCUUGAGAAGAUUUUUAUGUACAUUUGUAUAAUAUGUAAAAAUACAAUAUAAUAAACACAAACAUAAUGUAUAAAUGUAACAUGCAUGAAUGCAGACAUGAAUGCAAGUUUAGUAACUCACACUUUAAUAGGUAGACCUAGGACCCUUAAGGAAUGAUAGCUUUUGUCAACAUCAUUGUUCCCCCAGCUGCUUCGGGGCUUUGUCAUAUUUUUAUACAAAAGCCCUAUUGUGCCUACUGCCCUUCUGACCGUUCAAGAUUCAUUGUUACUCUGACAGGCGCUGUGGAGGGGACAGGCGCAUUCACUCCUUUCUUUGUUCGGACCAGACCCAGUCCAAUUGAUGAGCAUCUUCUGGGGAGGAGCGGGUGCUUGAUACCUCUGUUUUAAAGGAGUUCCCUAAGAGAGUCAAAUGCAUGGCACGUGGGAAGAACCAACUGUCUGCAGUGGACCAGGCACCAUGUUUGGUGCCCGGCAUUCCAAGAGUGAACAAGUUGGAGUUGGGCACCGUCUCCUCUAAGACUCUGGUCUUGCAGAAAUCCCACAGCAACUUCUCUUUGAAUCCAAUGCAGGGCUCGCAUGUGCAAAUCCCACGUGGAGGUCACGGUUCACUAACUCUGGAGGGCCACCUAGAGAAAAGAAGUGAUUCGGGAUAAUCACUCUGCAAACUGUAGACCAGAGACCCAGAAACCACCAUUCUUUUGGCGCUGUUUAGAAUUUGGGCAAGGAGCCACAGACACAUUUUUGAGGUGAGGAGAACUGCGUUUUCCUUUUCAUAAUUAAAAAAACCCAUCUUUAGCAUUUUUGGAAUAAGCAAUAUUCAUCUCUCAAUUAGUGUUAACAGCUAAUCAGGGUGCAGCAGGAUGGCAGAGCUUUCCUCAAACAGCAGGAAGCUUGUUUUAUUUUUUCAAUGCCACUUAAAGAUUAUUUGAAAAAUCUCCUUCAGAGACCAGUGCGUGGGGAGCCAC
RNAcentral lists this long non-coding RNA (1028 nucleotides) under Macaca mulatta (Rhesus monkey). RNAcentral's name for it is "lncRNA (ENSMMUG00000062740.1)". The record is from RNAcentral. Lineage: Eukaryota; Metazoa; Chordata; Mammalia; Primates; Cercopithecidae.